GCUGCUUUUCAGAUGUUUCCCUCAUACUUUGCACACGUCACCUAGAAGAGAAUGCCAAGAGACAACUUCAGAAUAAGGUGGGAGCUAGCCAUAAAGUGAAGAUGGAUAUCAUAAAGGAUAUUUUUGGCAAACAUGGACUUGUCUGUGCAGAGGACUCAUUCACUUUUGAUGAUAGUUCUGAGGCAAUAAUAGACAAAUGUGAGGAACUGGUUCCACAAUUUCUUCCAUAUCUUCGUGAAAGACUUCUGCCAAUCAUUAGAACAUAUGUAUUCCAACCAAGAAUGAAACACAAACAAGUACCUCAGCACUGGACAAACAACAAUUGUGAGACGAUGAACUUCAUCUUGAAAACAGCCGUUAAUUGGAAACCAGAGAAGCUUCCUGACCUUGUUGAUAAACUUCACAGGAUUGUCAAAACACAGUUUGCGGACAUGCGUCGAGCUCUCAGAGGAGAAAGCAACUUCCAGCUAGCUCCUGCCUUCAGUAAAUUCAAAAUAACUAUCAGUGCCUGGAACAACAAGACUGAAGAUGAAAAGGAAGCCUGCUUCACCAAGUUCUUAAAUGCAAAAAUUAAGGAUGACAACAACUAUAUUACCUCAACUGAUGGCCAGUUGUCCAUUCCAAAACCUCAGCGGUUGGCCAAGAAACCUGGACAGAAGACUCGUGCAACAAGAACCAGAACGACUAUAUAGACUAUAUAGAAAUAUAGGCUCCCAAUAAUUGCCAUUCUCAAAAAAAAGAAAAGCAGUUCCUCUGUAUAUGGAAACCUUACUUGAACUCUAUGACCACGAUGAAAGUCAAUAUGCUCGCUUAGUUAUAUUGGGGUUACUUCACCUGCUUGGAGAAAGGAAAGACUCCAUUUUUACUAAGGUACCAGAAGAAGAACUAAGAGCAGGGCAGUCUAGUGUGUAUUUGAUGGUGCACCUGUAGUUGAACCAACAUGUAUUUCUAUGGCUGUAGUCUCGUUGGUAGCAGGGCUUUAUGUGUUUAAUAUUGAACACCCAAAAAAUUGUGAACAUUUCCUCCGUUUCACAACAUCCCAUCUCUUAGGUAUCAAGUAUGACAGAGGUAACACUUCAAAAACAAGAUCUCUACUUGUAAAACUCAAUGAAGUAAAGACAGAAUUGAGCUACAAAAAUGCAUAAAUCUGCUUCAAAAUAUAUUCAACUCCACACAUAAUGCCUCUCUCUCUCUCUCUCUCUCUCUCUCUCUCUCUCUCUCUCUCUCUCUCUCUCUCUCUCUCUCUCUCUCUCUCUCUCUCUCUCUCUCUCUCUCUCUCACACACACACACACACACACACACACUAGUCAAUUACUAGUUAAAGAUUAAUCAGUGAAAUAAAUACAUAACAUUAUGUUAAUAAGUUUUCUAAAAGGAAAAGGAAAUACUUGUA
Molecule: long non-coding RNA, 1394 nt
Organism: Scylla paramamosain (green mud crab)
Lineage: Eukaryota; Metazoa; Arthropoda; Malacostraca; Decapoda; Portunidae
Exons: 3
Source: RefSeq, a predicted model, not a curated record